This is a long non-coding RNA of Gasterosteus aculeatus aculeatus (three-spined stickleback), 1144 nucleotides long. The record is from Ensembl. NCBI's taxonomy places the organism in Eukaryota, Metazoa, Chordata, Actinopteri, Perciformes, Gasterosteidae.
GUUUUUCUGAUAUAUAAACUACAUUGCCGCAGCAGAGACUCAGAUAUCCCUGGUGCCAAAACACCGGAUCCUACAUUUCCCACAAUGCAACACCACAGUUUCUUUUCAUUUGAAACCCACAUCUUUCAAACACUGCGCAGUUUGUAAAGCGAGCUUUCUGUUUUAGGAUUUAGCGAGACAACACUUUAUUUAUUUAUUUAUUUUUCAGACCUUGGAAAAGCAGAAGACGUCAUUGAACCGUUUCCACGGGCUGACUGACAACAAUGAGCAGCAAUCUGACUUUAAUGAGUGAAAUCAGUGGCCCUUCAGAAAGUCAAAGCACAUGGAACCACUAGAGGGCAAUAAUAAAGAACUAAACUUCAGCGCUGUCUGUGGUCUGAGGAAGUUGUGCAGACGUAUUGUGUUUUAUUCAUUUCAAUUAUCAAACCUCAAAUACUUUUUACAAGGAUGUGAAUCACAACCGAGACGUGGAACCUUUCCUUCACCUUUGUGGGGAGCUCACCUGAACAGCGUGCGUCUUUUCUCUGCUCUUCCUGUGCCGACGGAAGGCGGAGAGGCGGCUCGGUGCAGUAGGAGGACACUGAUGAAGAGGCUCGGUGCAUUCAAACCAUCAUCAUCAUCAUCAUCACAGCAUCAUCUCAACCGGAGGAGGAGAAAAGAAAGAAGAAGAAAAAACACCACCCCUGCUUCUGUCGGUGGUGUCGCGCGCACAGGCGCCUCCUUUAAACCCGCCCGGUGGAAACUUUGAAGCUUGGCGGCGCACAGUUCGGCUCCGGCGGCGCCUCGUUUCCUCGUCUCCUUUAAACUCACUUUACGGGCUUCUUCUUCUUCUUCUUCUUUUUAUUUUUUAUUUUUUGUUUUACUUCAAAAUGCCGUUGACUGGUGUUUUUUUGCAUGCGGCCAAACCGGAGAGCCCUGCUGAAUAUUUAUCCAAACGGCGCGAUAAUGGUCGUCAAUAACAGUCGGAGAAGCAGCGCGGCGGCGGCGGCGCAGCGGCGCCACAUGGAGCCGCCGGAGCUUCCGAUGCUUCACUCACAUGGCAGAGGAGCUCGAAGGAAAAGCCGGUUCAAAGGCUCCGACGGCAGCACCUCCUCAGACACCACCACCAACAGCCUCGUUCGCCAGGUAAGGACGCCGCCGCCGC